CAUUCAUCCCACUUCAGCCUCCCGUGUAGCCGGGACUACAGGUAUGAAAUAAUUUCCUAUUGAAGUCAUCUUAACAUGGAACCAGAAUUAAAUCCUAACAACAAUCAUGUGAGCCUGGGGAGGAUCCUUCCCCACGUGAGCCUUCAGGGGAGACUUCAGCCUUGGCCAUCUUCUCCAUCUAGAUUCCUGACCAAGAGAAACUGACCAUAUAUUCUGUUGCUCUUCACAUCUUGGAAUUAUAUUGUCCAUUUCCAGGGUCAAAGACCACAGAAUAAAUGUCAUCCUGGCAGCAGAAACAGGUUCUAAGUAUGUUGCCCAAGCUGGUCCUGAACUCCUAGCCUCAAGUAAUCCUCCUGCCUCAACCUACCAAAGCAUUGGGAUUACAAGUUUGACCCACCAUGAUCAGUCCAGGGUAGGAAAUGGAAUCUUAACAACUGUCACGUGAGCUUUGAGGGAAUCCUUCUCCAGAUGAGCCUUCAGUUGAGACCUCAGCCUUGGACAUCAUCUACAUCUGGAUUCCUGACCCAGAGCAACUACAGGCAUGCGUAUAUUAUACCAGCUUCCGGGGAGGCUGACUUGGGAGGAUUGCUUGAGCCCAGGAGUUCCAAACUGAAGCUUAGUUUUCUAAAGAUAAUUCUGCCUUCAAGCCUUGUUGGAAUUCUGUGAUAAUGUCUUUUCACUCCACGAUCUCCAUCAGGAAUUUUAUGGAACCUUGUAUUCUGUUGAAUACCAGAAUUACAUCAGCAAUCCCCAAGCCCCAAAGUCACCGGAUGGGCAUCAUUAUGACAGCAGAUCACCCAAUUGGCGUGCAUUUCCAGGAAUGCAUUUAUGGAAUAAGAAUAAAUGUUUACUCCCUUUUCCUGGGACAGUUCUAAAGACUCAGACUCCAUCAUGAAUUCAUGGCACCACACAGUCCCCUGAUGCUAUAACAUCAUGGAUUUCUUUUGUCCAGUGAGAGGCCCAAAAGCUGCAGCACAGACAAUAUCAUAGUGUAGAAGUUUAACUAGACCGUGAUCAUGGGCUACAUUCUCCAUACCAGCUUCAUAGCUCCAGUGAGAAAAUAAAUUCCUGCACCCAGGAGACGUGGAGUAAGAGAUACAGCUGCCCUUGACCAUAUUUCUUACUUCCGAGAAGAUUGUAGCAGUAAUUCAGAAUCUCAUCCAGGAUACCUCAUCACAGGCUGGAGUGCAGUGUCAUGAGCUUGGCUCACUACAGCCUCCAUCUUCUGUGCUUAAGGAUCCUUCCCUCUCAGCCUCCAGGGUAGCUGAGACUGCAGUAUUAAUUUUCUGUGAUUUUAAUAACACAUCAAUGAGUUCCUGAUGAGGGCAGGGAAGUGAAUCCUAAGAACAAUCAUGUGAGUUUGGAAGGAGACCCUUCCCCAGCUGAGCCUCAGCCUGAGCCAUCACCUACAUCUAGACCGAAGACCCAGAGAAACCGUGAGUAAUAUGUGUGUGGUUCUGAGCCACUAAGGUAUGUACUAAUUUGUUAUGCACCAAGUAGUAAGUAAUAUACCUGACAGUAAUUGUAAGGUGGUAUUCUGGAUUAGGUCCUGGAAUAGAUAAGUAUAUGAUUAUUAGAAAACCUGGUAAAAUAUGAAGGAAGUUUGUAGAUCAGUUAAUAGUCUUGAAAAACAGUUAAAUUCUUAGUUUUCAUGAAUAUGCUAUGGUUAUAAUAGAUAUUCAUAGUCUAGUUAGCUGAAUGGUAUAUGAAACUGUCUGUACUUACCUAUGUGCAUUUAUGUAAAUCUGCAGUUAUUUCAAAAUAAGUAUGUUUUUAAAUAUUAUUAUUUUGUUUUUUUUUAAAAAGAAAGCAAGUAAAGACACCAGCAGAAAACUUUUGCCUCCAGAUACAAGUGGGCAUGUAGGGAGAGAAUAGUAAACUGGCUUUUCUUUUCUAGGCAACAUUCGAAACCCAGGUGCCACUCCUUCAGGAAGGUACCAUCAAGCUCCAAGGACUCUUAUCCUCUUUCUCCUUCCCCACUACCUAGUCAUUAGAGCGUCAGCAUCCACUUCUUGAAAGGAAGAUGCCUGUUUUUCACAUAUCCCAGAAAGCCCCAUUUUAGGACAGCAUUUAGCAGAGUAUAUUCAGGAUCCCACUAACCUUUUUGGAAGACAUGACUUCCAGAUGAUAUAAGGCAAGAAUAAGAAAUUUCAGUGACAGGGAACAGAAAUCAUAUUUCUGCAUUCAGGAUCAUGUUUUCUUGCUACAGGGAUUUCUUCUUCAAGUAAUCCAAAGACAACUUUACCUUCAAACCUUUCAGAAAACCUGUUCUAAUUUAGUUCUCUUCAUUCUACAGGCUCCAUCAGGAACUGUGCAGGACUGUGCCCUCUGUUGAUACUCACAUGGUGGAAUUAUAUUGCCCUUGGCCAACCCUAAAGCCAUCAAGAUAGCAGGUCUGGCCUACAGAGAAGAGAGAUCAGGGAGCUCUUCAGUUGUACCCAGCCUCCCCACACAAAUCCACCUAACAAAGUCCUGAUAAACAGUAUGUUUUCUGAGUCUAUCAAUAUGGUUUUUUGUAGAGGUGGAGUUUCACCAUGUUGGCAAGGCUGGUCUUAAACUCCUGACCUGAACUGAUGGACCUGUCUGUGCUUCCGAAAGUGGUGGGAUUACAGGCAUGAGCCACCAUGCCCUGCUAUGAGGUCUUGUUCUUUUGGCCAGGCUGGAGUGCAGUG
Molecule: long non-coding RNA, 2672 nt
Filed under: Homo sapiens (human)
Lineage: Eukaryota; Metazoa; Chordata; Mammalia; Primates; Hominidae
Description: HSALNT0379985
Source: RNAcentral